Molecule: RNase P RNA, 401 nt
Filed under: Anaerolineae bacterium
Lineage: Bacteria; Bacillati; Chloroflexota; Anaerolineae
Description: RNase P RNA component class A
Rfam family: Bacterial RNase P class A
About the family: Ribonuclease P (RNase P) is a ubiquitous endoribonuclease, found in archaea, bacteria and eukarya as well as chloroplasts and mitochondria. Its best characterised activity is the generation of mature 5'-ends of tRNAs by cleaving the 5'-leader elements of precursor-tRNAs. Cellular RNase Ps are ribonucleoproteins.
Source: RNAcentral
UGAGUAAGUGAACCGUCGCUGCUCAACCUAAGUUGAGUAGAGGAACUUCCCGACUCUCAGCCUCGGUAAGAGGCAAGAUCGCCUCACGAAACAGUAAGUGAGGGCAAAGCACUGUAAGGUGUCUUUGACUACAACCGCAACAGAAAGCAAGUCAGCCCUGAAUAGAUUGAGGGGUGAUGAGUGAAACGGUAGGGUAAGAGCCUACCAGCGGCCUUGGUAACAAGGUCGGCUAGGCGAGCGUGCGGUCGAGAGCAAGGUGAGUGGGCCAGGCUGUGGCUUGGUCUCACCGCAGCAACAACGGUGACCCAAAGUAAUACUUUGUAAGCCAAGCGUUGCCAGGUAUAAUACCUGAGACAGAUGACGGUUAAAACAGAAUCGGGGGUAUGACCCUUAUUCAAGAA